UAUGCAGGCGGAUCGUUAAGUCGGGGGUGAAAUCCCGAGGCUCAACCUCGGAACUGCCUUCGAUACUGACGAUCUUGAGUCCGGGAGAGGUGAGUGGAACUCCGAGUGUAGAGGUGAAAUUCGUAGAUAUUCGGAAGAACACCAGUGGCGAAGGCGGCUCACUGGCCCGGCACUGACGCUGAGAUACGAAAGCGUGGGGAGCAAACAGGAUUAGAUACCCUGGUAGUCCACGCCGUAAACGAUGGAUGCUAGCCGUCGGGGAGCAUGCUCUUCGGUGGCGCAGCUAACGCAAUAAGCAUCCCGCCUGGGGAGUACGAUCGCAAGAUUAAA
Molecule: ribosomal RNA, 330 nt
Filed under: uncultured Prosthecomicrobium sp.
Lineage: Bacteria; Pseudomonadati; Pseudomonadota; Alphaproteobacteria; Hyphomicrobiales; Kaistiaceae
Description: bacterial SSU rRNA
Rfam family: Bacterial small subunit ribosomal RNA
Source: RNAcentral